Molecule: non-coding RNA, 990 nt
Organism: Musa acuminata subsp. malaccensis (wild Malaysian banana)
Lineage: Eukaryota; Viridiplantae; Streptophyta; Magnoliopsida; Zingiberales; Musaceae
Source: RefSeq, a predicted model, not a curated record
GGUCGUUCGACUUGUCUGGCAACCCGAAGCAACCGCUGUUCGACCCGCCCGCCGCCGAGCCUACGCUCAGUUCGGCGUCCCGGCCCAGUUCUUCCGGGUUCCAUGGAGAUGCCACCACGGAGUGGAGCGAGCAAGGAAACCAGAACCAUGGUUCCGAGAAAUCAACAAGGGAGCGAGCUGAGGAAAGAUCGAUGGGGGAACCAACUUAGCAAACAGCCAGAGAAAGCUCAUGCAAAGAAAGAAGAUCCAACAACAGCGUCAAGAAACCAGCUUGAAAGUGCAUGACAAGAAUCAACGAGUAGCUAACAUGGCAUCCAUAUCAGACCAUGGAAACCAUCGAGCACAACAACCCAAAGAGGGAGGAGAUGACCGAGGUUAGUAGGGUACGUACGUGCACAGGGAGGCAACAGCAGCCCGGGGAGACUGAUCAUGCAACGCCUGACAUGGAUUCCAAAGACAACAACGACUAUGAAGGGGGGGAAGUCCUGUUGCUGCUCCUGUUCACCUUAUCAUGCACCUCCGCGGGGGAGCAGGCAAGCAUGUGAGUUGGUGGCGUAUAGGUGAUGGGCUUGAGGUAACAAUUAUUGGAAGGGGAAGGGGUAAACAGUCACCCUCGGUGUUGAAUGAGCCCAUGUUCUCUCCUUGCAUGAGUUGGCAAAACACUUGAGGCCUACGCGUCAUUGGAUAUGUGCCGAACUACGUUCUUAUCCUUUGUCCAACACUGGUUCUCUAUGAUUAAAGCUCGAGCAAUGUGCCUUGCGAGGGAAGUGUGCCGAAGGACAUCUGCAGCUCCCCCACCUACCCCCACGAUAGAUAGAGGAAGCGUGAGGAAGAUGGAAGCGGAUCAGUGGAGUACUAACUCCCUAUCGUCUGCUUGCAUCAAACAUGCUCGUUUCUCCGUCGAGGCAUUUUUGUGGUGGUGUAUUUAGAUAUUCGAGUGACUUAUACGUGGUUUAAUGGAAUGGAAAUUUGGAAUCGAGCAUUUUUGUA